UACGUAGGGGGCAAGCGUUGUCCGGAUUUAUUGGGCGUAAAGAGCGUGUAGGCGGCUUUACAGGUCCGUUGUGAAAACUCGAGGCUCAACCCUGGAAUGCCGGUGGAUACUGCCGGGCUAGAGUCCGGAAGAGGCGAGUGGAAUUCCUGGUGUAGCGGUGAAAUGCGCAGAUAUCAGGAGGAACACCGAUGGCGAAGGCAGCUCGCUGGGACGGUACUGACGCUGAGACGCGAAAGCGUGGGGAGCAAACAGG
RNAcentral lists this ribosomal RNA (253 nucleotides) under uncultured bacterium. Its description in RNAcentral is "partial 16S ribosomal RNA". It matches the Rfam family "Bacterial small subunit ribosomal RNA", at positions 524 to 776 of the family's 1533-position model. The record is from RNAcentral.